GAUGAAGAACGUAGCGAAAUGCGAUACUUGGUGUGAAUUGCAGAAUCCCGUGAACCAUCGAGUCUUUGAACGCAAGUUGCGCCCGAAGCCAUUAGGCCGAGGGCACGCCUGCCUGGGCGUCACACGUCGUUGCCCCCCCAUCUACUCCUUCGGGAUUGCGGGGGGCGGAUGAUGGCCUCCCGUGCGCCUCGUCGCGCGGUUGGCAUAAAUGCCAAGUCCUCGGCGACGCACGCCACGACAAUCGGUGGUUGCGAAACCUCGGUUGCCCGUCGUGUGCGGUCGUCGCGAAUCGAGGGCUCGAAAAAAUUGUCGGGCUCCGGCUCGGCUUUCAACGCGACCCCAGGUCAGGCGGGGUUACCCGCUGAAUUUAAGCAUAUCAAUAAGCGGAGGA
This 391-nucleotide unclassified non-coding RNA is filed under the name soil metagenome. RNAcentral describes it as "partial contains 5.8S ribosomal RNA, internal transcribed spacer 2, and large subunit ribosomal RNA". The stretch from base 1 to 122 matches the Rfam family "5.8S ribosomal RNA", at positions 35 to 154 of the family's 154-position model. The record is from RNAcentral.